RNAcentral lists this ribosomal RNA (384 nucleotides) under uncultured Glomeromycotina. RNAcentral's name for it is "LSU rRNA". The record is from RNAcentral. Lineage: Eukaryota; Fungi; Glomeromycota.
UUGAAAGGGAAACGAUUGAAGUCAGUCGUACCGACGAGAAAUCAGCUCUUUGAGUGUGGACUUGUGGGCGUGCGUGAGCUUUACGGUCUCGCUGUUUGCAAUGUUUGUUCUUUUUGGGUGUACUUUUUCGUAUGGUAGGCCAACAUCAGUUUCGAAUAUCAUAAAAUGACCGGCGGAAUGUAGCUUCGAUCUUGUAUUGAAGUGUUAUAGCCUCUGGUAGAUGUGGUGUUUGGGACUGAGGAUUGGCAACGAAUAUCCGUUUGGGGCUAUCCGGUCUGAUCUCUGAAAGUUGCUUAGGUGCCGAAAGCGUGCUUACGGUUAUUUAAGUUGACGGUCAAAAAGGUUAGAACGUGAUUACAUUCGUUAAGGAUGUUGACGUAAGUC